This 544-nucleotide ribosomal RNA is filed under the name Corynebacterium amycolatum. RNAcentral's name for it is "bacterial SSU rRNA". It matches the Rfam family "Bacterial small subunit ribosomal RNA", at positions 533 to 1075 of the family's 1533-position model. The record is from RNAcentral. Lineage: Bacteria; Bacillati; Actinomycetota; Actinomycetes; Mycobacteriales; Corynebacteriaceae.
UGCGAGCGUUGUCCGGAAUUACUGGGCGUAAAGAGCUCGUAGGUGGUUUGUCGCGUCGUCUGUGAAAUUCCGGGGCUUAACUCCGGGCGUGCAGGCGAUACGGGCAUAACUUGAGUACUGUAGGGGAGACUGGAAUUCCUGGUGUAGCGGUGAAAUGCGCAGAUAUCAGGAGGAACACCGGUGGCGAAGGCGGGUCUCUGGGCAGUAACUGACGCUGAGGAGCGAAAGCAUGGGGAGCGAACAGGAUUAGAUACCCUGGUAGUCCAUGCCGUAAACGGUGGGCGCUAGGUGUGGGUUUCCUUCCACGGGAUCCGUGCCGUAGCUAACGCAUUAAGCGCCCCGCCUGGGGAGUACGGCCGCAAGGCUAAAACUCAAAGGAAUUGACGGGGGCCCGCACAAGCGGCGGAGCAUGUGGAUUAAUUCGAUGCAACGCGAAGAACCUUACCUGGGCUUGACAUAUACAGGAUCGCGCCAGAGAUGGUGUUUCCCUUGUGGCUUGUAUACAGGUGGUGCAUGGUUGUCGUCAGCUCGUGUCGUGAGAUGU